Molecule: ribosomal RNA, 934 nt
Filed under: Lacticaseibacillus paracasei
Lineage: Bacteria; Bacillati; Bacillota; Bacilli; Lactobacillales; Lactobacillaceae
Description: bacterial SSU rRNA
Rfam family: Bacterial small subunit ribosomal RNA
Source: RNAcentral
ACACGUGGGUAACCUGCCCUUAAGUGGGGGAUAACAUUUGGAAACAGAUGCUAAUACCGCAUAGAUCCAAGAACCGCAUGGUUCUUGGCUGAAAGAUGGCGUAAGCUAUCGCUUUUGGAUGGACCCGCGGCGUAUUAGCUAGUUGGUGAGGUAAUGGCUCACCAAGGCGAUGAUACGUAGCCGAACUGAGAGGUUGAUCGGCCACAUUGGGACUGAGACACGGCCCAAACUCCUACGGGAGGCAGCAGUAGGGAAUCUUCCACAAUGGACGCAAGUCUGAUGGAGCAACGCCGCGUGAGUGAAGAAGGCUUUCGGGUCGUAAAACUCUGUUGUUGGAGAAGAAUGGUCGGCAGAGUAACUGUUGUCGGCGUGACGGUAUCCAACCAGAAAGCCACGGCUAACUACGUGCCAGCAGCCGCGGUAAUACGUAGGUGGCAAGCGUUAUCCGGAUUUAUUGGGCGUAAAGCGAGCGCAGGCGGUUUUUUAAGUCUGAUGUGAAAGCCCUCGGCUUAACCGAGGAAGCGCAUCGGAAACUGGGAAACUUGAGUGCAGAAGAGGACAGUGGAACUCCAUGUGUAGCGGUGAAAUGCGUAGAUAUAUGGAAGAACACCAGUGGCGAAGGCGGCUGUCUGGUCUGUAACUGACGCUGAGGCUCGAAAGCAUGGGUAGCGAACAGGAUUAGAUACCCUGGUAGUCCAUGCCGUAAACGAUGAAUGCUAGGUGUUGGAGGGUUUCCGCCCUUCAGUGCCGCAGCUAACGCAUUAAGCAUUCCGCCUGGGGAGUACGACCGCAAGGUUGAAACUCAAAGGAAUUGACGGGGGCCCGCACAAGCGGUGGAGCAUGUGGUUUAAUUCGAAGCAACGCGAAGAACCUUACCAGGUCUUGACAUCUUUUGAUCACCUGAGAGAUCAGGUUUCCCCUUCGGGGGCAAAAU